GGUUGAUCCUGCCAGUAGUCAUAUGCUUGUCUUAAAGAUUAAGCCAUGCAUGUCUAAGUAUAAGCAUUUAUACGGCGAAACUGCGAAUGGCUCAUUAAAUCAGUUAUAGUUCAUUUGAUAAUACCUCUUAUCUACUUGGAUAACCGUAGUAAUUCUAGAGCUAAUACAUGCUAAAGACCCCGACUUUUGGGAAGGGGUGCAUUUGUUAGAUACAAAACCAAUACGGCGGGGCAACUCGUCGGUAACGUGGUGAUUCAUGACAACUUUGCGAAUCGCAUGGCCUUUGUGCCGG
Molecule: ribosomal RNA, 292 nt
Filed under: uncultured eukaryote
Lineage: Eukaryota
Description: partial 18S ribosomal RNA
Rfam family: Eukaryotic small subunit ribosomal RNA
Source: RNAcentral